Molecule: unclassified non-coding RNA, 266 nt
Filed under: fungal sp.
Lineage: Eukaryota; Fungi
Description: partial internal transcribed spacer region
Rfam family: Eukaryotic small subunit ribosomal RNA (bases 1-46)
Source: RNAcentral
AAGUCGUAACAAGGUAACCGUAGGUGAACCUGCGGUUGGAUCAUUAACAAAUUGAAAGAAUUUGCUGAAAAGCACUUUCUCAACAUUAUGUGAAUCGUUUAUUGUCUCUUGGUGGGUUGUUCAAUUUCUAGAUCUUUUCUUUUUUUUUAAGAACUAGAAAACGCCGCCAAAUUUUUAACUUGAACUUUUAUGAAUUUAAAUAAAUCGUCUUGAAUUAAAUUAUAUUCUAAUUUAAACAACUUUUGACAACGGAUCUCUAGGCUCUC